GAGCAGAGGAAACAGCAGUUAGAGCAUCCUGCAUAUUUAAUCAUAUCUGCACCCUGCCAAAGACUGAAAAUGAACCUCAUAAAAGGUUAUGGCAGUUUUUAUCCCCAUAAAUAGAUGCACUACUGAGGGACUACAAAAAUGUAAAUACACAGCGUAGAUACACACAGGUUUCUUGGGCUUUCUGGCUUUAACUGCUCCCUGAUGCAUCCCAAAAAAUAAAACUACUUCACAUUAUUAAGCGUGAAGCCAGCUUGUGUCAUAUCUGAGUAACAAAGACUGUAAUACUAUGCCACAUGUUUCCUCUCCAGUAAACCAGGCUUUAUACACUCAGUGUUUCUGCCUUCAUCAAAGAGAGAGGGGGGAGAUGUGGAGGAAUUGCUCCCUAAGAGGGGGAGGCGCUCUGGAUUUCUAAAUUGGGCAUAUUAAGCCCAAGAGGGUUAAAUGAGGAAUUAAGACUUGAAGCCAUUUUUUGCAGAGUCUACUGGAUUAUAUACGAGCUCAGAUCAGGAACAUUUUGGAGAACAAUUGGAAAUUUUGUUCAUGUGCGGAUGUGUUGAGGUUAAAUGAAGACAGACUUUAAAAUUAGCUAUGAUAAUUUAAGUUUUGGAGGGAACUAGAAUAUGCUGUGCUAUGAAAAACUAAUCUUCAGUGUAGUAUUAAGCCUGGCAAUUGUCCACGUCAGAGUAGUGGUUGUCAGGACAGUGACAGGCUCAGAUUGUGACUAAGUGUCAGACAACAUUAUGGAUAGGAUUCCUACAGAGAUCCUUUCUGUUUAAUCAGAGACAUCGCUAUAUGACUAUAUUGCUACCAGACUCCAUUGACAAAAACAGCUAUUUUACCGAACAGAACACAGGAGCUGCUGGAAUACCGCUGCCUCCGUCAGCUCCUUUAUGUUACUGUGUGACUUUCAGUGGUGGGAGAUGUAUUCACAUCCCAGUACUGCACCAAUACUCUGUCCUGUAUUUAUGAUCAUAUAUAUUUCAAACUACAAAUAAUGACAAUUUGUAUGACAUUUUGCAUGAUAUUUAUGGUGAUUUACAAGUCACACAACUGAUUAAUGAAUGUGUAUAAAGACACCUGAACAACCUGAGACACCCUGAUGCAGGGAAGAUAUUGUUUGGUGAAUAAAGCACUGGAGGAGAGCUGUGUGGCAUGUUUGAAUUUUAAUGUUAAAGACACUGUGGACAAUGCAACAUCACAUUUUUCUGAUUUUGCCCCAGCAUGCUGUGUGUAUCUACAGUGGAACGAGACAGGCAUCCAAAAGACCACAGAAAAAAGAUUUAGUAGCAUGUUAACAGUGCUACUCAGAAACAGCAGUUCUGACAGACAGAUAUUAGACAGCACACACACACACACACAUACAUACACACAUACACACAAGACUGAGGGCAAGGCUGCAGAAACAAAGCCAAGCAUUCCCAUCUGGUGAGUCCCACAAGUACACACAUGCACACUUGCACAUUUGGUUAUCCCACACCCUGCACCUUAGGAUCAUGUCAGUCUAAAGCUAAUGAAACAAGCUUCAGAGCCAAAAGGUGAAUUAGAAUAAACUGAAAAAUGUGUAGUUUCCAGAGACAAACAACAAGGAAAAAAAAGCUUAAGAGAAAAGGUGGCGGGGUUAUAACAACAUGCUGUGGUACGAUGGAAUGAGAGGCUCCCUCACGCAGCUCCACACCUGACAUAAUGCUGACACUACUGACAGCGGACAAGUUGAAACACAAAUGGCUGCAUUUGUGAAGUUUGUGGAAACACUGCCACAAGGACCGCUGACCUAUUUCCCCCCCGACACAGAAAGGAAGAGUGCAACUGAAAGGAGCAGUGUGUCACAAACUGUGUCCCAGAAACACAGUUUCAGUGAUAGACCCCAAGCUUGAAUAUUCCUGCAGAGACUGCUUAGUUAAGCUGCCGUGCAGUAAGAACAUAACCAGCAUAAAUAAACAUUUUCCUGCAGAUUUAUCUAUGAUCACUUUCAGAAUUGGUAUCAGAAGGAGUUUCCCCAUUUCAACUGGUGAUUGUUCAUGUGCGAGUUGAAAAUAGACUAAAGCACAUCUAUGUAUGCUCAAGAUCAGAUUACAGUCCAUACGGGUACGUUUGCAGCACUCACUGAGCGCUCUGAGAAGCAGAAGCCGGUCGAGCCGGUAUUUAAUCGCUCAUCACUGCCAGUGUCCCUUUGUGAGGCUACACAAUGUAGACACAACAAUGCAUAGACAUUUUUUUUUUUUUACAGAAUAUUGCACGGCAUGAGUCGAUGGCUUAAGUAUUUCAACUUCUUUUUUUAUUUUUUCCACCAUAUUUUCUUAUGAAGGAAGCAGCUUUAACUUGUUUUGGAGGAGUGUUGCAGACACACUGAUGAUCUCUGAUGCCCCGGUCUUCACCUCCUCAGAAAUCCAUGAUGCCAUGGCCUUUUUAGGCAGCAAUUCUUCCUCCUCAGCAUCAGCUUCUCCAGGGUCCUCAGGCUCCUCUUUUUCACCCAUCUCUUUACCCUCGGUGUCUACUUUAUCCUCUGCCUCCUUCAAGAUAAUGAGUGUCCCUUUCUUGUCAC
Lates calcarifer (barramundi perch) is the source of this 2542-nucleotide long non-coding RNA. RefSeq lists it as uncharacterized. Lineage: Eukaryota; Metazoa; Chordata; Actinopteri; Centropomidae. The record is from RefSeq and is a predicted model, not a curated record. The transcript has 3 exons.